GGAAGGAUCAUUAAAAAUCGCCCGAGCCGCAAGGCUCUAUUAUUUUGUGAAACGUUUGUGGAAGUUUGUGGUGCGCCGAGGUUCGUCCGCUGGUGCAUUGCAGGCUUCCCCAAUUAGUAUUAAACACAUGUCUUUGACGUUGAGGAAAUAUUAUUCUGUAAUAUAUAUACAACUUUCAACAGUGGAUCUCUCGGCUCUUGCAACGAUGAAGAACGCAGCGAAAUGCGAUAGGUAAUGUGAAACGCAUCACUCGUGAAUCAUCAAAUCUUUGAACGCAUAUUGCACCCUCUGGUACUCCGGAGGGUAUGCCUGUUUGAGAAUUGGAAUCCCAUCAACAACCUAGUUGUUGGAAAUGAGCGUUCGUGUCUACACGUCGCUUGAAAUAUAGGCGCAACAGCACUAUCAAAAACACUACGCUGUUGGACACUCUCUAAUGCUUCGGCUUGAAAGAGUCUUUGGGUAGGGUUAUGUGCUGACUGUGACAAAUAAACAUGCUUGCAUGUUAACGGGCAUGUUUGGCGGCUGGCGUUGUUGUGCAUCGUCACUCUCAUCACCAGGCGUCGGCAUGCAAGAGAAGGUUCUGGGCGCGUAUUUAUCUAUUAUGGAUGAUGUACGGGACCCUGCACCGACUCCAAACUCAAUCUCAAAUCAGGUAGGACUACCCGCUGAACUUAAGCAUAUUAAUAAGCGGAGGAAAAGAAACUAACAAGGAUUCCCCUAGUAACGGCGAGUGAAGAGGGAAGAGCUCAAAUUUGUAAUCUGGCAGGCCACGCCUGUCCGAGUUGUAAUUUGAAGAAGCGUUUUCUGCGCUGUCAAUGGCACAAGUCCCUUGGAAAAGGGCCGCAGAGAGGGUGAAACGCCCGUCUUUGCCAACGACAGUCGCUCUACGAUGCGCUUUCUAAGAGUCGGGUUGUUUGGGAAUGCAGCCCAAAGACGGUGGUAAAUUCCAUCUAAAGCUAAAUAUAAGCAAGAGUCCGAUAGCAAACAAGUACCGUGAGGGAAAGAUGAAAAGGACUUUGAAAAGAGAGUUAAAUAGUACGUGAAACUGUUGAAAGGGAAACGCUUGAAACCAGAGGGAUGCGCUGUGAAAUCAGUCGUGCAAUUUGCGCGGUGCUCUUUCGCAGCGCUCAGCCAACAUCGGUUCGAGCAGCCGGAGAUUGGCCAGUGGAAGGUAGCUUGUCUUUCGGGGCAAGUGUUAUAGCCACGGCUGGUGCGGCUAAUUGGACCGAGGCAAUGCGGCGUGAGCUUGCUGCCGGCCUGGCGUCAUUGUAGCGAAGGCUGUGCAGGCAGUUUCUGACUGUGCAGCAGUAGCGGCGAUGCGUCGGGUGCAGGACAUUCACGCCAAGGUUGUUGGCGAGUUGGUUUUAAACGACCCGUCUUGAAACACGGACCAAGGAGUCCAACAUAGAUGCGAGUAUUUGGGUGGCAAACCCGGAUGCGCAAUGAAGUGACAAGUGGGAGCUGGCUUUGCCGGUGCACCAUAGGCCGAUCCAGAAGUCUCUGAUGGACGGAUUUGAGCCAGAGCAUCUCUGCUGGGACCCGAAAGAUGGUGAACUAUGCCUGAGUAGGGUGAAGCCAGAGGAAACUCUGGUGGAGGCUCGUAGCGAUUCUGACGUGCAAAUCGAUCGUAGAACUUGGGUAUAGGGGCGAAAGACUAAUCGAACCAUCUAGUAGCUGGUUCCCUC
RNAcentral lists this unclassified non-coding RNA (1685 nucleotides) under uncultured fungus. Its description in RNAcentral is "sequence contains 18S rRNA gene, ITS1, 5.8S rRNA gene, ITS2, 28S rRNA gene". The stretch from base 639 to 1685 matches the Rfam family "Eukaryotic large subunit ribosomal RNA", at positions 1 to 961 of the family's 3401-position model. The record is from RNAcentral. Lineage: Eukaryota; Fungi.